This 18-nucleotide microRNA is filed under the name Macrophomina phaseolina MS6. Its description in RNAcentral is "miR-2881". The record is from RNAcentral. Lineage: Eukaryota; Fungi; Ascomycota; Dothideomycetes; Botryosphaeriales; Botryosphaeriaceae.
GGGGCGGGCGGGCGGGGG